Molecule: ribosomal RNA, 496 nt
Filed under: uncultured bacterium
Lineage: Bacteria
Description: partial 16S ribosomal RNA
Rfam family: Bacterial small subunit ribosomal RNA
Source: RNAcentral
GAUGAACGCUGGCGGCGUGCCUAAUACAUGCAAGUCGAGCGAACAGACGAUGAGCUUGCUCCUCUGACGUUAGCGGCGGACGGGUGAGUAACACGUGUAUAACCUACCUAUAAGACUGGGAUAACUUCGGGAAACCGGAGCUAAUACCGUAUAAUAUAUUGAACCGCAUGGUUCAAUAGUGAAAUACGGUUUUUCUGUCACUUAUAGAUGGAUCCGCGCCGCAUUAGGUAGUUGUUAAUGUAACGGCUUAUCAAGGCAACGAUGCGUAGCCGACCUGAGAGGGUGAUCGGCCACACUGGAACUGAGACACGAUACAGACUCCGAGGGGAGGCAGAAGCAGGGAAUCUACGGCAAAGGGCGAAAGCCUGAAGGAGCAACGCAGCGCGAGUGAAGAAGGUCUUCGGAUCGUAAAACGCUGUUAUUAGGGAAGAACAAAUGUGUAAGUAACUAUGCACGUCUUGACGGAACCUAAACAGAAAGCCACGGCUAACUACGU